AACGGCGAGUGAAGCGGCAAAAGCUCAAAUUUGAAAUCUGGCUCCCUUCGGGGGCCCGAGUUGUAAUUUGCAGAGGAUGCUUCGGGUGCGGCCGCGGCGUAAGUCCCUUGGAACAGGGCGUCAUAGAGGGUGAGAAUCCCGUCUUGAGCCGCUGGUCCCGCGCCCGUGUGAAGCUCCUUCGACGAGUCGAGUUGUUUGGGAAUGCAGCUCUAAGUGGGUGGUAAAUUUCAUCUAAAGCUAAAUACUGGUCGGAGACCGAUAGCGCACAAGUAGAGUGAUCGAAAGGUUAAAAGCACCUUGAAAAGGGAGUUAAACAGCACGUGAAAUUGUUGAAAGGGAAGCGCUUGCGGCCAGACUCGGGGGCGGGGGUUCAGCGAGCUCUCGUAGCUCGUGCACUCUCCCGUUUCCCGGGCCAGCAUCAGUUUCGGCGGUCGGUCAAAGGCUCCGGGAAUGUGUCGUCUUUAGGGACGUCUUAUAGCCCGGGGUGCAAUGCGGCCUGCUGGGACUGAGGAACGCGCUUCGGCUCGGAUGCUGGCAUAAUGGCCGUAAGCGGCCCGUCUUGAAACACGGACCAAGGAGUCUAACAUCCACGCGAGUGUUCGGGUGUCAAACCCGUGCGCGAAGUGAAAGCGAACGGAGGUGGGAACCCUUAACGGGGGGCACCAUCGACCGAUCCUGAAGUCUUCGGAUGGAUUUGAGUAGGAGCGUGGCCGUUAGGACCCGAAAGAUGGUGAACUAUGCCUGAAUAGGGUGAAGCCAGAGGAAACUCUGGUGGAGGCUCGCAGCGGUUCUGACGUGCAAAUCGAUCGUCGAAUUU
RNAcentral lists this ribosomal RNA (817 nucleotides) under Shanorella spirotricha. Its description in RNAcentral is "eukaryotic LSU rRNA". It matches the Rfam family "Eukaryotic large subunit ribosomal RNA", at positions 85 to 912 of the family's 3401-position model. The record is from RNAcentral. Lineage: Eukaryota; Fungi; Ascomycota; Eurotiomycetes; Onygenales.